GAAGGUAUGGGGGCUGCUAUACAUGCAGUCGAGCGACAGACGAGGAGCUUGCUCCUCUGACGUUAGCGGCGGACGGGUGAGUAACACGUGGAUAACCUACCUAUAAGACUGGGAUAACUUCGGGAAACCGGAGCUAAUACCGGAUAAUAUAUUGAACCGCAUGGUUCAAUAGUGAAAGACGGUUUUGCUGUCACUUAUAGAUGGAUCCGCGCCGCAUUAGCUAGUUGGUAAGGUAACGGCUUACCAAGGCAACGAUGCGUAGCCGACCUGAGAGGGUGAUCGGCCACACUGGAACUGAGACACGGUCCAGACUCCUACGGGAGGCAGCAGUAGGGAAUCUUCCGCAAUGGGCGAAAGCCUGACGGAGCAACGCCGCGUGAGUGAUGAAGGUCUUCGGAUCGUAAAACUCUGUUAUUAGGGAAGAACAAAUGUGUAAGUAACUAUGCACGUCUUGACGGUACCUAAUCAGAAAGCCACGGCUAACUACGUGCCAGCAGCCGCGGUAAUACGUAGGUGGCAAGCGUUAUCCGGAAUUAUUGGGCGUAAAGCGCGCGUAGGCGGUUUUUUAAGUCUGAUGUGAAAGCCCACGGCUCAACCGUGGAGGGUCAUUGGAAACUGGAAAACUUGAGUGCAGAAGAGGAAAGUGGAAUUCCAUGUGUAGCGGUGAAAUGCGCAGAGAUAUGGAGGAACACCAGUGGCGAAGGCGACUUUCUGGUCUGUAACUGACGCUGAUGUGCGAAAGCGUGGGGAUCAAACAGGAUUAGAUACCCUGGUAGUCCACGCCGUAAACGAUGAGUGCUAAGUGUUAGGGGGUUUCCGCCCCUUAGUGCUGCAGCUAACGCAUUAAGCACUCCGCCUGGGGAGUACGACCGCAAGGUUGAAACUCAAAGGAAUUGACGGGGACCCGCACAAGCGGUGGAGCAUGUGGGUUUAAUUCGAAGCAACGCGAAGAACCUUACCAAAUCUUGACAUCCUCUGACCCCUCUAGAGAUAGAGUUUUCCCCUUCGGGGGACAGA
Molecule: ribosomal RNA, 1017 nt
Filed under: Staphylococcus epidermidis
Lineage: Bacteria; Bacillati; Bacillota; Bacilli; Caryophanales; Staphylococcaceae
Description: bacterial SSU rRNA
Rfam family: Bacterial small subunit ribosomal RNA
Source: RNAcentral